ACAACAACGACCCCUCAUCUUUCAACUGCAGUGACAGUCAAGGAUGUGUACAUAAGAGCUUUUAUUGGAUUACGCUAUACAUGUAAUAUGGCAUUUGCAGCAGCCGAAGACAAAAGCACUGGAAUUACUUUAAGUGACAUUAGUCUCCACGAGCCACACAUAAAGAAGAAUGCAAGAGCUUCUGCGUCAUUUCCAGUUAUCAAGCCAAAUCUGAGUGCUCAGCCAUCACAGGUAUAUAAUCUCAUAAAGUAAAAAUUCAAACAUCUUUUAUUUUAAACAUUACCAAAAUACCUUGUAGUUAGUUUCAGCAUGUUUUUGAGGGUGGUGAAAUAAAUGUUUUGGGCAUGUUUUUCCUGACAGUAUGCUGUUAAAAUAAUCCACCAACUUGGGAAGG
RNAcentral lists this long non-coding RNA (394 nucleotides) under Sinocyclocheilus grahami. RNAcentral describes it as "lncRNA (ENSSGRG00000003111.1)". Lineage: Eukaryota; Metazoa; Chordata; Actinopteri; Cypriniformes; Cyprinidae. The record is from RNAcentral.